This 374-nucleotide unclassified non-coding RNA is filed under the name uncultured bacterium. RNAcentral describes it as "contains 16S-23S intergenic spacer region". The record is from RNAcentral.
UCCGGUUUGUCACCGGCAGUCUCCCUAGAGUGCCCUUGCGUAGCAACUAGGGACAAGGGUUGCGCUCGUUGCGGGACUUAACCCAACAUCUCACGACACGAGCUGACUACAGCCAUGCAGCACCUGUGUGCAGAUUCUCUUUCGAGCACCCUCCAAUCUCUCGGAGGUUUCUGCCAUGUCAAGGGUAGGUAAGGUUGUUCGCGUUGCAUCGAAUUAAACCACACGCUCCGCUGCUUGUGCGGGCCCCCGUCAAUUCCUUUGAGUUUUAGCCUUGCGGCCGUACUCCCCAGGCAGGGCACUUAAUGCGUUAGCUGCGGCACCGGAGGGGUCGAUACCCCCGACACCUAGUGCCCACCGUUUACGGCGUGGACUAC